This is a non-coding RNA of Callithrix jacchus (white-tufted-ear marmoset), 789 nucleotides long. Lineage: Eukaryota; Metazoa; Chordata; Mammalia; Primates; Cebidae. The record is from the annotation of a RefSeq genome assembly.
GCCUCACACAGAACUGUUGGAAGUCUCUCCAACCAUGGCCUGGGUCUCUUUCUGCCUCCUGCCUUUCAUUUUCUCCACAGGUCUCUGUGCUCUGCCUGUGCUGACUCAGCCCCCGUCUGCAUCUGCCGCACUGGGAGCCUCAGUCAAGCUCACCUGCACCCUGAGCAGUGAGCACAGCAACUACUAUAUUCACUGGUAUCAACAGAGACCAGGGAGGUGCCCCCAGUAUAUAAUGAGGGUUAACAGUGAUGGCAGCCACAGCAAGGGGGACGGGAUCCCCAAUCGCUUCUCGGGUUCCAGCUCUGGGGCUGACCGCUACCUCACCAUCUCCAACCUCCAGUCUGAGGACGAGGCUGAGUAUCACUGUGGAGAGAGCCACACCAUUGAUGGCCAGGACGGGUAAGCCACAGUGACACAGACAAAGGAGAAGUGAGGCCAAAACCUCCCAUCUCCUGCUUCUCCUCGUGGACUCAGAGUGAGAAGCCCCAUGCCCCUCUCCAGAACCCUGAGAAUGAUGACUCUGCCCCUUGCAAAUCUCAUCAUCCCACAUAUCCUCCCUCAAGACAACUCUAGGCAGAAGCAGAUGCAAGCCAUGAUCGAGGAAAACUCAUCAUUCUGUUUCUUCCACACCAGAGUGUGGGGAGAGGCCAGAACAGCCCAGGCAGGAAAAGGACCCUGAGAGAGGGGCCAGGCUGGAAUGACCACGUUCACUGAGUGCCAUUUACCCUGUGUCCCAUUGUGGGACUCUGACUGUGGAGGAACGUGAAUCUUGACGUCUCCAUAACGUAU